RNAcentral lists this ribosomal RNA (300 nucleotides) under uncultured Lactobacillus sp. Its description in RNAcentral is "bacterial SSU rRNA". It matches the Rfam family "Bacterial small subunit ribosomal RNA", at positions 496 to 795 of the family's 1533-position model. Lineage: Bacteria; Bacillati; Bacillota; Bacilli; Lactobacillales; Lactobacillaceae. The record is from RNAcentral.
GCUAACUACGUGCCGGGAGGCUGUGGUAUACGUGGGGGGCGUGGUUUAUCCGGAUUUACGUGGUGUAAAGGGAGCGUAGACGGUGGGGCAAGUCUGAUGUGAAAGGCAUGGGGUCAACCGGUGGACUGCAUUGGAAACUGUCAUACUUGAGUGCCGGAGGGGUAAGCGGAAUUCCUAGUGUAGCGGUGAAAUGCGUAGAUAUUAGGAGGAACACCAGUGGCGAAGGCGGCUUACUGGACGGUAACUGACGUUGAGGCUCGAAAGCGUGGGGAGCAAACAGGAUUAGAUACCCUUGUAGUC